RNAcentral lists this unclassified non-coding RNA (211 nucleotides) under Hevea brasiliensis (rubber tree). The record is from RNAcentral. Lineage: Eukaryota; Viridiplantae; Streptophyta; Magnoliopsida; Malpighiales; Euphorbiaceae.
GACAGAAGGCCACCUCUGCGUGCAGGCAAUUGAAACGAAGAAAAGAAAAAUAGAAAGAGCGAAGAAGGGUGACUGAAUGGGAGGUCGCCGACAUUACGUAACUUGACAGCAAACGCGAAAAUAAUUAAGGGUGGAUCUGUGUCGCUGUCAAAAAUAUUGCAACAUGCCACGGAUUUACUUAUUGGGCCCAACAAACCUGAGGCUAAGAAAC